AGUGAACGCUGGCGGUAGGCCUAACACAUGCAAGUCGAACGGCAGCACAGUAAGAGCUUGCUCUUACGGGUGGCGAGUGGCGGACGGGUGAGGAAUACAUCGGAAUCUACUUUUUCGUGGGGGAUAACGUAGGGAAACUUACGCUAAUACCGCAUACGACCUACGGGUGAAAGCAGGGGAUCUUCGGACCUUUCGCGAUUGAAUGAGCCGAUGUCGGAUUAGCUAGUUGGCGGGGUAAAGGCCCACCAAGGCGACGAUCCGUAGCUGGUCUGAGAGGAUGAUCAGCCACACUGGAACUGAGACACGGUCCAGAGGCCUACGGGAGGCAGCAGUGGGGAAUAUUGGACAAUGGGCGCAAGCCUGAUCCAGCCAUACCGCGUGGGUGAAGAAGGACUUCGGGUUGUAAAGCCCUUUUGUUGGGAAAGAAAAGCAGCAGGUUAAUACCCCGCUGUUCUGACGGUACCCAAAGAAUAAGCACCGGCUAACUUCGUG
This 492-nucleotide ribosomal RNA is filed under the name uncultured bacterium. Its description in RNAcentral is "partial 16S ribosomal RNA". It matches the Rfam family "Bacterial small subunit ribosomal RNA", at positions 29 to 507 of the family's 1533-position model. The record is from RNAcentral.